Molecule: long non-coding RNA, 1344 nt
Organism: Odocoileus virginianus texanus
Lineage: Eukaryota; Metazoa; Chordata; Mammalia; Artiodactyla; Cervidae
Source: RefSeq, a predicted model, not a curated record
GGACCCCACUCCCUACCCAGAACCCAGUUCUCUCACCUCCCUUGACUCUCCAGGGCACAGAGUACCAUAGGGCAUGGAGUGCUUGUGGUUGGCUGGGCCAUCUGAGCCGCUCCACCGUUAACUCGGUCCUUGCAGCCCCUGUGAACCUGCCCAGGGCCAGCUGGAACACAUGACACUGUCCAGGACGAGCUGCCCUGCUUCUUGGCUCCCCUGACUAGGAGUCCCGGGCACCUGAUACUGAUAUUGCUGCUUCCAAGAUGGUGACCUGCUUCACUGGGGCGCUCGCCAGCUGGAGGAACAAGAGAGCAGUGUGAGCGGCAGAUGGGGGCCCAGACAAGAGCCCUUUGAGAGCAGAGCACGGAAGGGGAGGGCCCGGCCUCCCAGACCUGCCACUUCCCAGGGACGCAGCACAGGCGGGCAGCCCACGCAAAGAAUAGCUCCCUGUCUCCACCUUAGAGACAAGCCCAGCUGCCAGCCUCAUUAACUUUUCUACUUCCCUUCCCAAUCUGUUUAUUUUGGGCAACUUGGAUUUCUUCUGCAAAUGCGUGAGUGUCAGCAUGGGGGGCAGCGGAGCUGACGUGCAGGAUAUAGCCCCCAGUGAUGGGUUCCCGUCACCCCCCACACUGGCUGCUCUGACAGCUGGCCCUUGGACAACACGGGCUUGAACUACGAGGCUCUGCUCACACUCGGGAUUUUCUUCAAUGAACCUGACUGCAGGACUGGAGACCUACAAGCCACAGAUGCAGAAUAGUGGGCAGGGAGGGCCAAUUGUGAAGGCGGCACCCAGGGUAAGUUGUGUGGCACUCAGUCCUGGAACUCCAGGAUGGUGCAGGCAGGUCACGGGGCACACAGCAGCAGGACAGACUCAGCUCCCAUGACAGGGUCCUGGCAGGUUCUGCACUGCCCACGGCUCCCAGCAGGCACGUGUUGCUGGUCUGAGGACCCCAUACCACAGUCCCCACAACGUUGCCUUGAAGAAACAGCUGACCAUCCACCAGGAGCUGCCCCUUCACUAGGUCCAGAGAUGUUGUGCCUCUGGGGUCACUCCAGACCCGACACCCAGCAUCACUAUGAGGACAUCACACACAGCCCAACUGGGGAUGUUCCCCACACACAAGACCAGCCCUCAUGCUCAGCUGUCUACAAUAGGAGGGGGACUAUCCCAGCCAAGAGGGCCUGGCAGAGGUGAGCACGGAGAACAGAAGGUGACCUGGGUGAAGUGUGGGUGUGGUGGUCACUGUGUUGUGGAAAACAAGCCUGACUGACGGGAGGACUGGUCAUGGGCUGAGGGUUCUGUGCCAUGUUUGCAGCUCCCUGUGCGUCUAAAACUCUUCUGAGCUUUAA